This 604-nucleotide long non-coding RNA is filed under the name Nicotiana tabacum (common tobacco). RNAcentral describes it as "long non-coding RNA (NTAB_LNC011709)". The record is from RNAcentral. Lineage: Eukaryota; Viridiplantae; Streptophyta; Magnoliopsida; Solanales; Solanaceae.
UAACAGGAAACCUAAAACAAACACAUCACAAUUCUCCGUGGGGCAAGAAAUACACACAACAGACAUGUUUAUUUGAAACAACGGAACAGAGAACACACGAUAACUCAAAAUGGAGAUUCAUAGGGCUUCUGGUGGAACACCAAAAAACCAGACUAGUUCGGAAUUUGCACAUCAGCAUUACAAAUCCGAACUACACACAGCUUGGACAUCAAGUCCUUUAUUCUGAAAAACAUAAACAAACGACACUGACACUGACACUGAAACAAAAACAAAACAGGCCCUCAAAGACACUCCUUUUCCUCGUUCUAUUCCUCCUUCCAGCAGCCCUUCAGAACGGACUUGGGAGAUCCACAGAAAGGAGUCCUAGUGAACUUCUGGUAGACAAUGGAACCACCCUUGCCAAAUUCUUCUGGACUACACUCAGCAAGAGAGUAGCCUUUCACAUCAACAGAGCAAACCCGCUGCAGUAACUUGGUAGCAACAUCAGCAUGCAAAGCAAUAGAGAACUCAUCUGGCUCGAAACAUGCCAGCACCCUCUCAACCAGGGGACCCAGCUUCAUGGUUUUCAUAUCAUACCCAACUGCUUCAAAGCUAGCAUAGCUAA